AUUUCAUUAGUAAAAUUUUAUUAUAUUAUCUUGAUGAGGUAAAGUUCCUGUGGAUGAAAUAA
This 62-nucleotide transfer RNA is filed under the name Zoniolaimus dendrolagi. RNAcentral's name for it is "tRNA-Ile". Lineage: Eukaryota; Metazoa; Nematoda; Chromadorea; Rhabditida; Strongylidae. The record is from RNAcentral.